GAUGAACGCUAGCUACAGGCUUAACACAUGCAAGUCGAGGGGCAGCAUGGGAUUAGCUUGCUAAUCCUGAUGGCGACCGGCGCACGGGUGCGUAACGCGUAUCCAACCUGCCCUCUAGAUGGGGACAACAUCCCCGAAAGGGGUGCUAAUACCGAAUGUGACAGCAAUCUCGCAUGAGGAUGCUGUGAAAGAUGGGCCUCUAUUUAUAAGCUAUCGCUAGAGGAUGGGCCUGCGUCUGAUUAGCUAGUUGGUGGGUAACGGCUACCAAGGCGACGAUCAGUAGCCGGUCUGAGAGGAUGAACGGCCACAUUGGAACUGAGACACGGUCCAGACUCUACGGAGCAGCAGUGGGAAUCGUUCGCAAUGGCGAAGCCUGACGGAGC
RNAcentral lists this ribosomal RNA (383 nucleotides) under uncultured bacterium. RNAcentral's name for it is "bacterial SSU rRNA". It matches the Rfam family "Bacterial small subunit ribosomal RNA", at positions 28 to 392 of the family's 1533-position model. The record is from RNAcentral.